RNAcentral lists this long non-coding RNA (444 nucleotides) under Androctonus crassicauda. Lineage: Eukaryota; Metazoa; Arthropoda; Arachnida; Scorpiones; Buthidae. The record is from RNAcentral.
UGCCCAUAGAAUGACUGGCCAGCACACUUUGAAAAGCAGUGAUAGGUGUAGAAGGGCCAGGGCCUCUGUAUGAACUGUGCAGUGGACUGGGAUGACACUGGAACUGAGGGAAAGCACCACAUGUUAGCCCAGCUGUGAUGCUGCAGAAGUGCUGAUCCCACACCAUGCAUGGGUGCGUUUCCCUAGGGACGAUGGAUGGAAGAGACUUGGAUACCAGUGAUCUAGGCUUCAGUCUCUCCUGGGAUAGUGCCCCCAUCCUUACGAAGUAAUAGCCUUAAGCAAGUUUCCCAGAGUCCCACACCUGACUCCCUGAAUCUUUCUUGUUCCGGCCAUAGCACUGGGCCAAGAGCUUUGUUGCAUCAGCCUCCGACUCAGUCCUCAUGUCAUAGAGUAGCUGCUCCAACAGCAGCUGGUACCAGCCCUACCCAUCUAGGAGCUCAUUCC